This 439-nucleotide ribosomal RNA is filed under the name uncultured bacterium. RNAcentral's name for it is "bacterial SSU rRNA". It matches the Rfam family "Bacterial small subunit ribosomal RNA", at positions 954 to 1392 of the family's 1533-position model. The record is from RNAcentral.
GCAAAACGCGAAGAACCUUACCAGGCCUUGACAUGCAGAGAACUUUCCAGAGAUGGAUUGGUGCCUUCGGGAACUCUGACACAGGUGCUGCAUGGCUGUCGUCAGCUCGUGUCGUGAGAUGUUGGGUUAAGUCCCGUAACGAGCGCAACCCUUGUCCUUAGUUACCAGCACGUUAUGGUGGGCACUCUAAGGAGACUGCCGGUGACAAACCGGAGGAAGGUGGGGAUGACGUCAAAUCAUCAUGGCCCUUACGGCCUGGGCUACACACGUGCUACAAUGGUCGGUACAGAGGGUUGCCAAGCCGCGAGGUGGAGCUAAUCUCACAAAACCGAUCGUAGUCCGGAUCGCAGUCUGCAACUCGACUGCGUGAAGUCGGAAUCGCUAGUAAUCGCGAAUCAGAAUGUCGCGGUGAAUACGUUCCCGGGUCUUGUACACACCG